RNAcentral lists this ribosomal RNA (764 nucleotides) under soil bacterium is01. RNAcentral's name for it is "bacterial SSU rRNA". It matches the Rfam family "Bacterial small subunit ribosomal RNA", at positions 19 to 766 of the family's 1533-position model. The record is from RNAcentral.
CUGGNUCAGGACGAACGCUGGCGGGUGCUUAAUACAUGCAAGUCGAGCGGACUUGUAGGAGCUUGUUCCUGCAGGUUAGCGGCGGACGGGUGAGUAACANGUGGGCAACCUACCUGUAAGANUGGGAUAACUUCGGGAAACCGGAGCUAAUACCGGAUGACAUAAAGGAACUCCUGUUCCUUUAUUGAAAGAUGGCUUCGGCUAUCACUUACAGAUGGGCCCGCGGCGCAUUAGCUAGUUGGUGAGGUAACGGCUCACCAAGGCAACGAUGCGUAGCCGACCUGAGAGGGUGAUCGGCCACACUGGGACUGAGACACGGCCCAGACUCCUACGGGAGGCAGCAGUAGGGAAUCUUCCGCAAUGGACGAAAGUCUGACGGAGCAACGCCGCGUGAACGAUGAAGGCCUUCGGGUCGUAAAGUUCUGUUGUUAGGGAAGAACAAGUGCUAGUUGAAUAAGCUGGCACCUUGACGGUACCUAACCAGAAAGCCACGGCUAACUACGUGCCAGCAGCCGCGGUAAUACGUAGGUGGCAAGCGUUGUCCGGAAUUAUUGGGCGUAAAGCGCGCGCAGGCGGUUUCUUAAGUCUGAUGUGAAAGCCCCCGGCUCAACCGGGGAGGGUCAUUGGAAACUGGGAAACUUGAGUGCAGAAGAGGAAAGUGGAAUUCCAAGUGUAGCGGUGAAAUGCGUAGAGAUUUGGAGGAACACCAGUGGCGAAGGCGACUUUCUGGUCUGUAACUGANUCAAAGGCGGNCAAGCGUGGGA